Molecule: RNA transcript, 6708 nt
Organism: Penaeus monodon (black tiger shrimp)
Lineage: Eukaryota; Metazoa; Arthropoda; Malacostraca; Decapoda; Penaeidae
Gene name: beta-1,3-glucan-binding protein-like
Exons: 1
Source: RefSeq, a predicted model, not a curated record
AGAGCUGGAUACCCAUUAUGAUAUUAUCUCUGACAAGAAGUCUGCUGAGAUCUCUUUCCAAGGAGAUUCACUGAUGAAAAAGCUGUAUGUUGAGGGUAGCUAUAAUCUGAAAUAUGGAUCUUUUAAGGUUAUGACUCCUAUUGAGGACUUCAGAGUCCUGGGUGCUGAAUAUACACUAAACCUUGAUGAUACAACAGAAAUUGAUGCUUCUGUUAAGAUCAGUCAAAAUUCCAAUGAAUGGGCCUUCGAGGCAAAUGGACAAUACAGUGAUGAUAACAUUGUUAUAAAGUUCCAGACACCAUUUGAGGGCUUUGAUACUAUUGCUGUUGAAGGCAAUCUAAACUAUGGAAACAGAUCUGGAAAAGGUGUCAUUCAAUUUGGGUCUUAUAAGUUUACCACCAGCAUUACUUAUGCAAAUGACAACAUGUCCUUUGAGCUGACGACUCCCUUUGAUGCAAUGAAGACUGUGUCCCUUUCAGCUCAGUACAACUGGACUACCAGCCAAAAGAGUGCUACUCUAAACAUCACUUACAAUGACAAGAACUUCGUUCUCUCCAGUUCUCUGCAGCUCUCUGCAAGGGCCUCUGACAUCACCUUCCAGGCCGGAACUCCUUUCAAGGGUUUCCAGAACACUUUCAUUGAAAUUAAGUAUGAUGUUGAUAACAGAGAGGAGCUCCUUGCAUCCCGUGUCAGUGUAGAUGAUCACAAAUACAGCUUUGUUGUAGGUGGAUUUAUUGAAGACAAGCUAGCCAUGUUCAAGUGGAACCUUAACUCUCCUUUCAGUGGCUGGACUGAUGCCAAGUUUGUAGCAAAGAUUGAUCUUUCCAGUGAAAAUAAAAACAUUGAAAUCUCCCUUGAGAAAGAAGGAGACCUUAAAGCUAUUGCAGUCUCUGGCAAGUUCAUUGGCAGUACAUUGGACUUUAAUCUGCAAACUCCUUUCAGAGGGCUCAAUAAUUUCAACGUGUUUGGAUCUCUUAACCGGUCCAAGAGGUCUCUUGAAAUGAGAAUGAUGAAUGAUGCAGGACAAGUAUCUUUAGCUGGCAAUUUCAAUUCCCUCAGAUUCAACAUGAAGACUCCAUUUGAAAGAGUAGAACAGAUCUCCUGGGAGAUCACCAAGACUGGUGAAGGCUCCUACAAAGCUGAAUGGAGGAGGAAUGAUAAUUAUGCCAUACUUACAACAGAAAAAGAUGGAAAGAAAAAUUCUUUUCAAGUGAAUGUGAAGAGUGAGUUUCAGGGAUGGGAGAUCCUGGCUCUUACUGGAAGACUGGACGAAGGGACAAAACAAGCCUACCUCAGUGGAGCCAUCAAUGAACAGAAGAUCACUAUCUCUGGAUCAGGUUCCUUUGGUAGCAGAAGCAAUUAUAGCAUGAAGAUUGAAACUCCCUAUGACAACUACAGAGUUGUAAAUGUCCAACUUGAUUAUUUGAAGAGAAGGAAUACAAUGAAGAUUGAGGCCUCUUCAUCCUCUUCUGAUUUCCAUCUUCUUUGGUCAUACUCAGGAUCAGGCAUUGAAGCUCACCUUAUUGUACCUAAUUCACAGCAGAAUACUGAAAUUUCCAUCAACCUGGCCCCUACUCAAGGAAAAAUUACCAUAACAUCACGAUUUGAGCCUAUCAGGGACUACCUCCAGGAAUACCAUGUUAACUUGGGUGAGACUGUUAUCACUGCUGAUCAUAUUAUCAAGCUGAAUGGUCAUGAGGUUUUCAAGAUGGAAUUUGAGAGGAAUGCUCUUGAACAGAAGGGACACCUAGAAAUUCACAUUCACGUUGCAGAACGUCACACAACCAUUCACUUCCAUCGUGAGGGCUUUAGCAAGCUUAAUUUCCUGUUUAAACGUGAAGUACCACAGUAUGGUGAAAAACACUUCAAGGUUGACAUAACUGGAUCAGGAGCAUUGCCACAAAAGGGUGCACUUGAUAUUGUUGUUGAGAACACUUUUCGUGAACCAGCUAGGACCAUCAAUGCACGUGUUGAAGUAGACCGGACUGGCGCUCAAAAGAAAAUUUUGCUGGAGAUUAUUCCUAGACAAAGCAGACUGUAUGCUUUUAACCUUGAAUAUGAUGCAGACCUUCAAAGCCCACGACAUGGAGACUUCACUUUGAGUAUUACAACUCCAAGCAGGCGAGCAGCCCCAUGGCAGAAUAUAUCUGGAAAUUGGAAUGUUGAAAAUCCAAAUGAUGCUACAAUAACCUUCACAAUGGGCAACAUCACUUAUAAUGCCAGAGGAAAACUUACUCUUCGAGAAUCCACCAUGAUACUCUCUUCAACAAAUUCAUCAGCUGAGAACAUUUACCUCCAGUGGAAAUUUGAACGAGAUGGCAGCACUAGAGAUUAUUUCCUUAAGCUUGGCCGUGAGUCCAAAUAUGGAAUGCUGAAGCUGAAGGGAACAAUUAUUGAUAUUGCUCAUGUGGAUAUUGAAGGAGGCCUCAAGGCUGGACCAUUCAUGCCAAAUGAGUUUCUGUUUACCUCUAUGUGGAACAAGGCUAAUGGUGUAGUCACUGGAGAAGGUACAUUUGAUUAUGGAAACUAUCAUGGCUCCCAUCGCCUAGUAAAGUUUGAACGAAAUGCAGAAAGGAAAUCGGCAUCCUUUGAAUGGUCAGCAACUUCAAAUAUUCCCCAGUACAACUCUGUUUCGGUUUCAGGAAAUUAUGACUUUGACCACAAAGUUGUUAUCUUUGUCCUCAUAAAUGCUGAUGGUAGAGAAUCUAAAAUUGAUGUUAACAUUGCUGAUAUCAACCCCACAAUAUCUCGUAAUACAGCAAUGAUUUCUAUCCCACUCCUAGGAUCUACAUUUGAAAGAACAGAACUCACUGUCAGUCAUGACUUUAGCCAUCCAAACCGAAAAUCUAUCUCAGCUGUUGCAAAGUUUGGUCGUUCAGAAUCCUUCAUUAAUGCCAAGUGGAACCGAAGUGAUGGUUUUGAAACCCUUGAAGGAAAAAUAGAGGCAAAUCUAGAUUCCUUGGAGAUAUUCUAAUCAACGUCAGGUAUAACAUGUCCAAUAUUGCAGAUGCUUAUGCUGAAGUUGACUAUUCAAGAACGACAACAGAUGGUGACAAAAAGGAAUUCAAACUCAACUGGACUAGGAAAUCUACUGAUGACCAUCUUGAAAAUGAAAUGAUCUUUGACUCCAACUUUGAGACCCUGUCACAUGCACGUGCAUAUGCCAAUGCUGAGUAUGGUAACAAUUUCAAAUUGUUAUCUGGGCUGGAUUGGAAUGAUAAGAAAAUUAACCUUACCCUUGAAGUUCGCAAAAAUAAGAUUUCAGGAAAGCUUACCACACCAUUUGAAGGAUUUGAAACAAUAGAGGUAGACCUGCAGUAUAAGCUUACUGGUAAGGACAAGUCAAUUAAUGCAACAUAUCAACGUGGAGAUAGGAAGGCUAGCCUCAAUAUGGAGUUGAGCAUGAAGGGUAAAAAAGGAGGUUCGUUUAAAGUUGAUCUCAGUACACCUUUUGAAGUGGUGAAAAACCUUCAUAUUGAUGGUCAGUAUGAAAUAAAGUGGCUCAAGUUAAUUACCAAGAAACGAUAUUCACAUGAACUUCAAUGGAAAGGCUAACAUCAAGUCAAGUAAAGCUUCCUUUUACAUUUCAUUCACACCUCCAGCGGACAAAAAAUCAGGAUAGCUGCUUCAUAUGAUGUACAGGACUUCAUUGCUGGUACAGGAACUGAGGAGAAGGAACUAGCUAGUCUUCACUUGAAUUUGAAGGUAACUCAUUGGACUUCAGCCCUUCUGGCUUCCGCAAUGAUGACAGACUCUAUGUGAUGAUUCAUGGGUCUUCCUCCUUUGCAGUGCUCAAGAUGUUCCAUCUCAAAUUAGAUUCUGAACUGAAUACUCAGGCAAGGGAUGGCACUUUUGAACUCACUUUCAAUGAUUUUAAAUUCAAUGUAAGCAAUCACUUUGAAAGACGAGAAGACAAUGGUUAUUACUUAGAAGCAAGAUUGAGUCGACACUCACUCCACUCCCAGCACUGAUCAUUGGUCUUGGGCGUGAAGGUGAAGAACGUAUCAUAACCGUUGGUUAUGGAGAGGACAAAGAGUUUACUUUCUCUAUAAAAGGUAAGAACACUUCCUUUCUGGAUUUUCGGGCAAGGUUGACAUUCCCUCCCUAAAUUAUGAAGGAGUGGAAUAUGAUGUGGAUUACAGCUUCCCAGGUGAUAAUCACCUCCAAUUCAUGUCGAGAUUGACUUAAACGAAACGAGCAAGAAGUGGAGGCAACAUUCUUCCUGGAUUCAGAAGGUAUCAAGGCUCGCCUGUCAUCCACUGUACUGGUGACCAUUCCUUGCGUGUUCGUCGAUCAGUGUCCCCUGAUGGCUUUUAUGCUGAAGCUGGUCUUGAUGAUUACAGCCUGAAAUUGCGAGGAGGCUUCAAGAACGAGAUACCGCACGGGUGUACUACUGGAAGGAGAAGUAUUUGGUAAUAGAUUCCUUGUUGACACCUUAUUCCAGUGGAAGGAAAGCGAUAUUCUGAGGGUAAACUUAUCAUCCACACUCCAUUCCCUGGCAUGGAAAAGAUGGGUGGCCUAUUCACAUGGUCUAAUGCAAACAAGAAAAUCAUGGCCCAUGCUGAACUACAUCUUCCUUCUUAUAUAACACCUACAAUUACUGGUGAGAUUAGCCUAGACCUUAAAAAGAAGAUCAAUGGUUAUGUCACGCUUGACGUAGCUGGAGAGGAAUUCACCUGAAGUGCAAUCUUGCUGGUUCUUCCAUUUCUCAAGGUUAUACAGGUUCACUUGAAUUCUAUACUCAUUCCAUGCUGUAUCACAUGUUAUGUUGACAGGCGACAUAAAAAUGCAGGCAUUGUCCUUCCUUGACAUGGAAGUAAAAAUUUAAGCACCUUUUGCCACACAUGACCUUAAACUGAAAUACCAGCUUAGUGCUGACAAAAUCUCUGGGGAAGCUUUCCUUGAGUCAACAAGGUUGUAUAACACCAUUCAGCUAAGCCUUAAUCUUGAGGGCCUCAGCACUGGAAAUGUAGAGGUUGACUUGACUGUCAAUGACAACAAGAUUAAAGCACAUUACAUUUUGGCUCAAUCCACCUUCAAAUUCGACGUGACAACCGUUAUUUUUAGCAAGGAACGCCAGUUCUCCAUUGAAGCUAAGUAUCCAUCUCUGGAGAGCCUCGAGGGUGUAGUUGCUGUUACUCUGGAAGGUGAAAAGCACAUGGUUAGUGGAAGCCUGAACAUCGUUAACAAUCGUAUCCAAGGAGCCCUGGAUUUGGAAUCUGACCUUAUUCAGCGGCCACAGAAACUGAUGUUCGACGUUUCCAAGCCAAGUACUUCCUAUAAACAAGCCUCAUUUAAAAUCAUUUUCACUAGCAGUGACCCUCAUUCCUUCUACCUGGAUUUGGAUCUAAGAAGUGGGCUUAAAGCUACUGUAAAGAUUGAUACACCCUUUUUUCCAAAAGUUACCACUACCCUGCAAGUAACCCUGCUGUUGCUGGAAUCACCGUCGAGACCCCAAAGGAACACACAAGAUUCAGGUUAGCUGGCGCCAGACUCGUAGAAUGCCAUCUGACUGGAUUGCUUCCCUAGAGCUGAUCUCUCCAUUGCUGCCUGAGAACUACCUCUCAUGUUAACCUUGAAGUAAACACAUCAUGGCUGAGCUGCGCACAGGGAGCAUAAAGCACAAUCUUGAAGCCAGAACCUCAAUGUCUAACUAUGGUGGUGAUUUGUCUCUCAUGAUUGACACACCCUUUAAGAAUAUCAAUAAAGUUAUGUUUGAUGCCUCACUCAACUUCCAGAACAAUGUUGAACUGUAUAUCACAGCCAAGUUUGCCAACACAGUCAAUUCCUUCCGGUUCAAUUUGGAUAAGGAAAACAGGAAGCUAAUUAGCAUUGUGGAAUCUCCAUACAUUCCAACGGGAAUGGCUGAAGCUGAAGCUAUGCUCGCUGGAAAUACAAAUGAGAACAUGCAAAUGAAGAUGACUUUGAAGAAUGCUGAAGAUACCAUCUCUGGAAUCCUCAAUAUUAAGAUCAAGUCUUCACAGAAUAUCAAUACCAACCUCAAGAUUAUUACGCCAUUCAGGUUACAAGAAGAUGAAUUUCGGUGCCCGCUACCUAAAGAUGAGGUGACCAACAUUUCCGUGUUUGCUGACAAGCCUCUGAAGUUUAAGGCAGAUCUUCAGUUUGGAAACACCGAGGAUGCCGUGGCAACCAACUUGGUUGUUGAAACUCCCAUUGAAGACUUCGAGAGGAUCGAGGCUGAAAUGAAGGUUCCCCUGUACAGGUUUGCUCCGAAGGUGAUGCUGACUCUCCCUCACAACCGUUACGGAUUUACUGCAGAUUACGGCAGUGACUCUUUCUCUCAGAAGUUAUCUGCUGGCGUGACGGUGAACGAGGAAUCAUAUGACGGAUACUACUCUCUGAGGACAAAGGCGCCCUACGAACUGGCUUAUGGCUACAACUUAGCUCACUUGGCAAGCACACGAUUCCAUCUUAGAACCGACUCGUCAUUCUUCUCUGUGUUUGCAUAAAUUCAGUGUGAUUUGUUUGAAAGACAUUGAAGUAUGAGUAUGUAUAACUUGCCAAAUACUUUAACGACAUUAGUUUGUUUUAAAAUAUAUGCCCAUGCAAAAUACUGUUGAAGAAUUACCAAGGCUGCGAUCCUGUACCUAAGUAUUCCUAGCCUUUGGUUCGAAUAAACUUGCAUUUAUGUAUAUAGAAGUUCAUGAUUAUGACAUGUAUCAACAAUAAAGACUUCAUCAAAAAAUA